GACGUAGGGCGCGAGCGUUGUCCGGAUUUAUUGGGCGUAAAGAGCUCGUAGGCGGCUCAUUGCGUCAACCGUGAAAACCAGCAGCUCAACUGUUGGCUUGCGGUUGAUACGGGUGGGCUGGAGUUCGGUAGGGGAGACUGGAAUUCCUGGCGUAGCGGUGAAAUGCGCAGAUAUCAGGAGGAACACCGGUGGCGAAGGCGGGUCUCUGGGCCGAUACUGACGCUGAGGAGCGAAAGCGUGGGGAGCGAACAGG
Molecule: ribosomal RNA, 253 nt
Filed under: uncultured bacterium
Lineage: Bacteria
Description: partial 16S ribosomal RNA
Rfam family: Bacterial small subunit ribosomal RNA
Source: RNAcentral